RNAcentral lists this long non-coding RNA (991 nucleotides) under Zonotrichia albicollis (white-throated sparrow). Its description in RNAcentral is "lncRNA (ENSZALG00000001938.1)". The record is from RNAcentral. Lineage: Eukaryota; Metazoa; Chordata; Aves; Passeriformes; Passerellidae.
AUGUCCCCAAGUAUUCCCAGUCAUGGUGGCCCCAAUGUCCCCUCAAUGUCCCCUCUGUGGUGGCCUCAAUGUCCCCUCAAUGAUCCUGGUGGUGGCCUUGAUGUCCCCNCCAGCUCCACCAAGAUCCCUCCUGGCUCCACCAGGCCCCACUUGGAUCUACCAGAUCCCACCUGGCUCCACCAGAUCCCACCUGGACCUUCCAGAUUUCACACAGAUUCUUCAGAUCCCACCCGGAUCCUCCAGAUCCUUCCUGGAUCCUCCAGAUCUCACACAGAUCGUCCAGACUCCACCAGGAUCCACCAGAUCCCUCCUGGCUCCACCAGAUCCCACCUGGACCUUCCAGACUCUAUCAGGAUCCACCAGCUCUCUCCUGGAUCCACCAGAUCUCACACAGAUCCUCCAGACUCCAUCAGGAUCCUCCAGAUCCCUCCUGGAUCAUCCAGAUCCCACCUGGACCUUCCAGACUCCACCAGGAUCCUCCUGGACCUUCCAGACUCCACCAGGAUCCUCCAGAUCCCUCCUGGCUCCACCAGAUCCCUUUUGGAUUCACCAGAUCCCCUCUGGCNGGGAUCCGAUGGGAUCCAUGAGCUGGGAUUGAACCCUGAUCCAGCCCAAACCCAGCCAGGAUCCACCAGGAUUGAACCCAGAGCCCGCAGGGCCGCGGGCAGUGCUGCAGCAACUGAGGGAUCCAUGGGAUCUGAUGGGAUCCAGCCCAAAUCCAGCUGGGAUUGAACCCAGAUCCAGCUGGGAUCCAGCCCAGAUCCAGCUGGGAUCACAGCCAAGAUUGAGCCCAAAUCCAACCCAAAUCCAGCCGGGAUCCACCAGGAUUGAACCCAGAUCCAGCUCACAGGGCCACAGCCAGUGCUGGAGCAGCUGAGGGAUCCACCAGGAUCCAGCCCAGAUCCCAGCCAGGAUCCCAGCAGAUCCCAGCUCCAUCUGCACCCUGGGGCUCUCCCUGAGUUCUCUCCCAGCACUGUUUGAAGCUUCCAAG